GAGAAACGAAACAAGUGAUGUGGAGUAAAACUUAAAAAAGACGGUCCCAGUUCGAAUUGAAGGCUGAAAUUCGCCUUCAUGAAGUCGGAAUUGCUAGUAAUGGCAGGUCAGCAUACUGCCGUGAAUACGUUCCCGGGCCUUGUACACACCGCCCGUCACACCAUGAGAGUUGGAGAUACCCGAAGCCUGUGAGCUAACUUUUAGAGGCAGCAGUCGAAGGUAGAAUCAAUGAUUGGGGUGAAGUCGUAACAAGGUAGC
RNAcentral lists this ribosomal RNA (258 nucleotides) under uncultured bacterium. RNAcentral's name for it is "partial 16S ribosomal RNA". It matches the Rfam family "Bacterial small subunit ribosomal RNA", at positions 1244 to 1500 of the family's 1533-position model. The record is from RNAcentral.